AAUGCGGUUAAAUCUAUAAUUUUUUUGAUUCUAUAAAGUUUGACAAGUACAGAUGCAAAAAAAUUUCCUAUAAUCCUACCACAGAAGAGAAGCCGCUUACAUGUUACUCUUUGUUUUUAAGCUGCAUUUCUUUGCUACCAACCUGAAAGUAAACAAAACUUAAAUGUCUGUAUCAACUCCUGACUUAAUUUCCUCAGAUAAGCAAAUAAUAAUCUGAAAAAUGAAUAUCUUUAAGGGAAUGAUCAUUGUGUAAUUAAUAUGAUUAGGAAUUAAAAAAAAAAACAAAAACGUGUUUUUGAGAUGGCACUCUCUGUGUACCUUAGGCUGGCCCUGGAAUUGAGAUCCUUCUCCCUCAAGUGCUGGUUUACAGACGUGCUCCACCUUGUCUAACUCCGGGACUUGUGUGUUUUAUUUAUUAUUAUUAUUAUUCACGAGAUGGUCUCAGGCUGGCUUCAAACUCCUGGGCUGAGUGGGUCCUCCUGCCUCAGCCUCCCAAGAAGCUGGGACUACAGGUGCACACCACCAUGCCUGACUUUGCAGAACUUUCGCCUUUGCAAAGGACUUGUAAUUCAAGAAGGUUUACGAAGCAGUUAUUACCAUCAGCUUCUUAAGUUACCCUGCCAGAGAUGUAUGAGUGUGUACUGA
Molecule: long non-coding RNA, 645 nt
Organism: Castor canadensis (American beaver)
Lineage: Eukaryota; Metazoa; Chordata; Mammalia; Rodentia; Castoridae
Source: Ensembl